Cavia porcellus (domestic guinea pig) is the source of this 218-nucleotide non-coding RNA. It matches the Rfam family "7SK RNA". From Rfam's summary of the family: 7SK was discovered as an abundant small nuclear RNA in the mid-70s but a possible function has only recently been suggested. Two independent studies have found that 7SK RNA binds the CDK9/cyclin T complex (known as elongation factor P-TEFb). P-TEFb activates transcription by phosphorylating the C-terminal domain of RNA polymerase II. Lineage: Eukaryota; Metazoa; Chordata; Mammalia; Rodentia; Caviidae. The record is from Rfam.
UAAUGUGAGGGUGAUCUGGCUGCUACAUCUAUCACCCCACUGAUAGCCAGGGUGGAACCUCUGAUUUUGCUAGCUAAGUUUGUGUCACCUUCCUCCCUCACCAUGCCUUGUGCAUCCCUCCUGAAGCUGAGCUGGUGGAAGAAGACCACACCCUCCUUCAAGGGUACAGGAGUAGAACCCCCAAACCAGCUGUCAAAUAUAGUCUGGAUAUCAGUACU